RNAcentral lists this ribosomal RNA (300 nucleotides) under Pycnococcus provasolii. RNAcentral describes it as "partial Eukaryotic small subunit ribosomal RNA". It matches the Rfam family "Eukaryotic small subunit ribosomal RNA", at positions 572 to 875 of the family's 1831-position model. The record is from RNAcentral. Lineage: Eukaryota; Viridiplantae; Chlorophyta; Pseudoscourfieldiophyceae; Pseudoscourfieldiales; Pycnococcaceae.
AGCCGCGGUAAUUCCAGCUCCAAUAGCGUAUAUUAACAUUGUUGUCGUUAAAAAGCUCGUAGUCGAACUUCGGGUCCUGUAGGCCGGUCCGCCUUCUUGGUGUGUACUUGCUCUAUGGGACCUUACCUCCUGGUGAACGGCGAUGUCCUUUACUGGGUGUCGUCGCAAACCAGGACGUUUACUUUGAAAAAAUUAGAGUGUUCAAAGCAGGCCUUUGCCCGAAUACAUUAGCAUGGAAUAAUAGAAUAGGACGCGCGUUCCCAUUUUGUUGGUUUCUGAGAUCGCCGUGAUGAUUAAUAG